AUUGAACGGCUGGCGGAAUGCUUUACACAUGCAAGUCGAACGGCAGCAACGGGGCAACCUGGUGGCGAGUGGCGAACGGGUGAGUAAUACAUCGGAACGUGACCCAAUCGUGGGGAUAACGUAGCGAAAGUUACGCUAAUACCGCAUACGAUCUACGGAUGAAAGCGGGGAUCGCAAGACCUCGCGCGAAUGGAGCGGCCGAUGUCAGAUUAGGUAGUUGGUGGGGUAAAGGCUCACCAAGCCGACGAUCUGUAGCUGGUCUGAGAGGACGACCAGCCACACUGGGACUGAGACACGGCCCAGACUCCUACGGGAGGCAGCAGUGGGGAAUUUUGGACAA
RNAcentral lists this ribosomal RNA (340 nucleotides) under uncultured bacterium. RNAcentral describes it as "bacterial SSU rRNA". It matches the Rfam family "Bacterial small subunit ribosomal RNA", at positions 35 to 371 of the family's 1533-position model. The record is from RNAcentral.